UCCCUGGUGGUUCAGUGGUUAAGACUCCACACUCCCAGUGUGGGGGCCUGGGUUCAAAUUCUGGUCAGUGAA
RNAcentral lists this transfer RNA (72 nucleotides) under Bos taurus (domestic cattle). It matches the Rfam family "tRNA". Rfam says of the family: Transfer RNA (tRNA) molecules are approximately 80 nucleotides in length. RNAcentral also lists the same sequence under 3 other names. Lineage: Eukaryota; Metazoa; Chordata; Mammalia; Artiodactyla; Bovidae. The record is from Rfam by way of RNAcentral.